Non-coding RNA from Tetranychus urticae (two-spotted spider mite), 733 nucleotides. The record is from RefSeq and is a predicted model, not a curated record. NCBI's taxonomy places the organism in Eukaryota, Metazoa, Arthropoda, Arachnida, Trombidiformes, Tetranychidae.
UUAUUAUACAACAAUAGAUGUUUUUGUAUCAAUAUUUAUAUUUUUUCACCUUCUUUUCAAUUUAAACUUGUUUUGCCCUCAACUAUUAACAGUGUAAUUUGACUCGGACAUUGAACAACAACCAUGAUAACUUGUUAAAAGCUGAUGUUGACCAAGAAUAAUCGGAAAAAAGCUGAUUGUUAGGAGGAGUUAAUACACUGUAAAUUGACCCUCAAUUUCAACCAUUUUAUGUCAACACCAAAUGGGUUUACAAUGGAAAAGGAUGAAUCAUUAUUUUACCUCUCCGUCCAACAAUUUAUUCAAUUUGAUCACCAUUGUAAUCCUUACAAUGAGAACCAUUUUUGAUAGUGAAUUUGAUUUUGAGAAGAAAAAAAAGACUUUUUGAUUCGGUUACCUUUGCCAGAAAACAACAAAAACAUCAGUUACAAAAAAAGGUAACAUCAAACUGAGAGAUCAAAUUAAGAAGGGAAUUGUUGCCGAUUACAAUGAAUAACCAUUUGAAUGGACUCAGAUGAACUGCCUUUGAUUCUGAUGAGCAUUCAAUUUCAUCUUCACAUCCAUGACUCUAAUUUUGUUGAUCAAAGGACCGAUGCAAGGAAUGAAUAAGUUCACAGGAUCAUCAAAGCAAAUCUUCAACAUAAAUCCAAAACUGAAUUCAAGUUACAAUGUAACCCUAUCCUGUUGCAUGCAUUACCUGGACUUAAUAACAAUUUUUGAUGAUUUCUUAAUCAAA